This 427-nucleotide ribosomal RNA is filed under the name uncultured bacterium. Its description in RNAcentral is "partial 16S ribosomal RNA". It matches the Rfam family "Bacterial small subunit ribosomal RNA", at positions 355 to 774 of the family's 1533-position model. The record is from RNAcentral.
UGGGGAAUAUUGGACAAUGGGCGAAAGCCUGAUCCAGCCAUGCCGCGUGUGUGAAGAAGGUCUUCGGAUUGUAAAGCACUUUAAGUUGGGAGGAAGGGCAUUAACCUAAUACGUUAGUGUUUUGACGUUACCGACAGAAUAAGCACCGGCUAACUCUGUGCCAGCAGCCGCGGUAAUACAGAGGGUGCAAGCGUUAAUCGGAAUUACUGGGCGUAAAGCGCGCGUAAGUGGUUUGUUAAGUGGGAUGUGAAAGCCCCGGGCUCAACCUGGGAACUGCAUCCAAAACUGGCAAGCUAGAGUACGGUAGAGGGUGGUGGAAUUUCCUGUGUAGCGGUGAAAUGCGUAGAUAUAGGAAGGAACACCAGUGGCGAAGGCGACCACCUGGACUGAUACUGACACUGAGGUGCGAAAGCGUGGGGAGCAAACA